This 301-nucleotide ribosomal RNA is filed under the name uncultured bacterium. RNAcentral's name for it is "partial 16S ribosomal RNA". It matches the Rfam family "Archaeal small subunit ribosomal RNA", at positions 459 to 760 of the family's 1478-position model. The record is from RNAcentral.
CAGUCGCCACGGUAACACCAGCACCUCGAGUGGUCAGGAGGUUUAUUGGGCCUAAAGCAUCCGUAGCCGGUUGCAUAAGUUUUCGGUUAAAUCUAUGCGCUUAACGUAUAGGCCGCCGAAAAUACUGUGCAGCUAGGGAGUGGGAGAGGUACACGGUACUCGAUAGGAAGGGGUAAAAUCCUUUGAUCUAUUGAUGACCACCUGUGGCGAAGGCGGUGUACCAGAACACGUUCGACGGUGAGGGAUGAAAGCUGGGGGAGCAAACCGGAUUAGAUACCCCUGUAGUCCCUGUCUCUUAUAC